This 254-nucleotide ribosomal RNA is filed under the name uncultured bacterium. Its description in RNAcentral is "partial 16S ribosomal RNA". It matches the Rfam family "Bacterial small subunit ribosomal RNA", at positions 524 to 776 of the family's 1533-position model. The record is from RNAcentral.
UACGUAGGGGGCGAGCGUUGUCCGGAUUCAUUAGGCGUAAAGAGCUCGUAGGCGGCUUGGCAAGUCGGAUGUGAAAACUCCAGGCUCAACCUGGAGCCGCCAUUCGAUACUGCUAUGGCUAGAGUCCGGUAGGGGAGUGUGGAAUUCCCGGUGUAGCGGUGAAAUGCGCAGAUAUCGGGAGGAACACCGAUGGCGAAGGCAGCACUCUGGGCCGGUACUGACGCUGAGGAGCGAAAGCGUGGGGAGCGAACAGG